Molecule: unclassified non-coding RNA, 272 nt
Filed under: Cyphellophora deltoidea
Lineage: Eukaryota; Fungi; Ascomycota; Eurotiomycetes; Chaetothyriales; Cyphellophoraceae
Description: Anthopsis deltoidea partial contains 5.8S ribosomal RNA, internal transcribed spacer 2, and large subunit ribosomal RNA
Source: RNAcentral
CGCAUAUUGCGCCCUUUGGUAUUCCGAAGGGCAUGCCUGUCCGAGCGUCAUUAUCCCCCCCUCAAGCCCGGCUUGUCGUUGGACCGCGUCUGCGCGAGCAGGCUGGUCCCAAAGGUAAUGACGGCGUCUGUAGAGGACUCCAGUACACUGAGCUUUCGGGCAACGUACUCGGUUUUUUUUGGUUUUUUUUUAGGACUCUAGGCCCGGUCUCCCUCGAACGAUCUUUCACCCAGGUUGACCUCGGAUCAGGUAGGAAUACCCGCUGAACUUAA